This 253-nucleotide ribosomal RNA is filed under the name uncultured bacterium. Its description in RNAcentral is "partial 16S ribosomal RNA". It matches the Rfam family "Bacterial small subunit ribosomal RNA", at positions 524 to 776 of the family's 1533-position model. The record is from RNAcentral.
UACGAAGGGGGCUAGCGUUGCUCGGAAUUACUGGGCGUAAAGCGCACGUAGGCGGAUUGUUAAGUCGGGGGUGAAAUCCUGGAGCUCAACUCCAGAACUGCCUUCGAUACUGGCGAUCUCGAGUUCGGGAGAGGUGAGUGGAACUGCGAGUGUAGAGGUGAAAUUCGUAGAUAUUCGCAAGAACACCAGUGGCGAAGGCGGCUCACUGGCCCGACACUGACGCUGAGGUGCGAAAGCGUGGGGAGCAAACAGG